Molecule: transfer RNA, 22 nt
Filed under: Dendrobates tinctorius (dyeing poison frog)
Lineage: Eukaryota; Metazoa; Chordata; Amphibia; Anura; Dendrobatidae
Description: partial tRNA-Phe
Source: RNAcentral
ACCCUAUCGGCCCUUUAACACA